This 301-nucleotide ribosomal RNA is filed under the name uncultured bacterium. RNAcentral's name for it is "partial 16S ribosomal RNA". It matches the Rfam family "Bacterial small subunit ribosomal RNA", at positions 509 to 809 of the family's 1533-position model. The record is from RNAcentral.
CAGUAGCCACGGGAACACAGAGGGUGCAAGCGUUAAUCGGAAUUACUGGGCGUAAAGCGCGCGUAGGUGGUUUGUUAAGUUGGAUGUGAAAGCCCCGGGCUCAACCUGGGAACUGCAUCCAAAACUGGCAAGCUAGAGUACGGUAGAGGGUGGUGGAAUUUCCUGUGUAGCGGUGAAAUGCGUAGAUAUAGGAAGGAACACCAGUGGCGAAGGCGACCACCUGGACUGAUACUGACACUGAGGUGCGAAAGCGUGGGGAGCAAACAGGAUUAGAUACCCCAGUAGUCCCUGUCUCUUAUCC